AUUGAACGCUGGCGGCAGGCUUAACACAUGCAAGUCGAGCGGGGUGAUGGUGCUUGCACUAUCACUUAGCGGCGGACGGGUGAGUAAUGCUUAGGAAUCUGCCUAUUAGUGGGGGACAACAUCUCGAAAGGGAUGCUAAUACCGCAUACGUCCUGCGGGAGAAAGCAGGGGACCACUUGUGACCUUGCGCUAAUAGAUGAGCCUAAGUCGGAUUAGCUAGUUGGUGGGGUAAAGGCCUACCAAGGCGACGAUCUGUAGCGGGUCUGAGAGGAUGAUCCGCCACACUGGGACUGAGACACGGCCCAGACUCCUACGGGAGGCAGCAGUGGGGAAUAUUGGACAAUGGGGGGAACCCUGAUCCAGCCAUGCCGCGUGUGUGAAGAAGGCCUUAUGGUUGUAAAGCACUUUAAGCGAGGAGGAGGCUCUUUUGGUUAAUACCCAAGAUGAGUGGACGUUACUCGCAGAAUAAGCACCGGCUAACUCUAUGCCAGCCGCCGCGGUAA
Molecule: ribosomal RNA, 503 nt
Filed under: uncultured bacterium
Lineage: Bacteria
Description: partial 16S ribosomal RNA
Rfam family: Bacterial small subunit ribosomal RNA
Source: RNAcentral